UACGUAGGUGACAAGCGUUGUCCGGAUUUACUGGGCGUAAAGAGCGCGCAGGCGGUCGAUCAAGUCGAGUGUGAAAGCCCCCGGCUCAACUGGGGAGGGUCAUUCGAUUACUGAUCGACUCGAAGGCAGGAGAGGGUAGUGGAAUUCCCGGUGGUAGCGGUGAAAUGCGCAGAUAUCAGGAGGAACACCCGUGGCGAAAGCGGCUCUCUGGGACGGUACUGACGCUGAGACGCGAAAGCGUGGGGAGCGAACAGG
RNAcentral lists this ribosomal RNA (255 nucleotides) under uncultured bacterium. Its description in RNAcentral is "partial 16S ribosomal RNA". It matches the Rfam family "Bacterial small subunit ribosomal RNA", at positions 524 to 776 of the family's 1533-position model. The record is from RNAcentral.